RNAcentral lists this transfer RNA (73 nucleotides) under Treponema sp. RNAcentral's name for it is "tRNA-Thr". It matches the Rfam family "tRNA". Rfam says of the family: Transfer RNA (tRNA) molecules are approximately 80 nucleotides in length. Their secondary structure includes four short double-helical elements and three loops (D, anti-codon, and T loops). Lineage: Bacteria; Pseudomonadati; Spirochaetota; Spirochaetia; Treponematales; Treponemataceae. The record is from RNAcentral.
GCCACCUUAGCUCAGCUGGUAGAGCACUUGACUUGUAAUCAUGAGGUCUCCGGUUCGAUUCCGGGAGGUGGCU